Molecule: ribosomal RNA, 468 nt
Filed under: uncultured bacterium
Lineage: Bacteria
Description: partial 16S ribosomal RNA
Rfam family: Bacterial small subunit ribosomal RNA
Source: RNAcentral
GAUGAACGCUGGCGGCGUGCUUAACACAUGCAAGUCGAACGGUGAAGGCGGAGCUUGCUCUGCUGGAUCAGUGGCGAACGGGUGAGUAACACGUGAGCAAUCUGCCCCUGACUCUGGGAUAAGCGCUGGAAACGGCGUCUAAUACUGGAUACGAGCUGCGAAGGCAUCUUCAGCAGCUGGAAAGAACUUCGGUCAGGGAUGAGCUCGCGGCCUAUCAGCUUGUUGGUGAGGUAACGGCUCACCAAGGCGUCGACGGGUAGCCGGCCUGAGAGGGUGACCGGCCACACUGGGACUGAGAUACGGCCCAGACUCCUACGGGAGGCAGCAGUGGGGAAUAUUGCACAAUGGGCGAAAGCCUGAUGCAGCAACGCCGCGUGAGGGACGACGGCCUUCGGGUUGUAAACCUCUUUUAGCAGGGAAGAAGCGAAAGUGACGGUACCUGCAGAAAAAGCGCCGGCUAACUACGUG